Pezoporus occidentalis (night parrot) is the source of this 4718-nucleotide long non-coding RNA. RefSeq lists it as uncharacterized. NCBI's taxonomy places the organism in Eukaryota, Metazoa, Chordata, Aves, Psittaciformes, Psittacidae. The record is from RefSeq and is a predicted model, not a curated record. The transcript has 2 exons.
GUUGUUGGUUUUUGGGGGGUUUUGUUUUGUUGGAGUUUUCUCUUUUUAAGGACUCUGGGACAAAACACGCUUAUUGCCUACGUAUAAGGGCUAUACUCCUUACUUCAGAAUGGAAGGUACCAUGUAUAAGCUAGCCUAUACUUUACAAAUGGAUGUCUCUGCAACACAGUCCACCAUAUAUGCAUAAUUUGAAUGUGUGACUGUGCAGAAAACAUGGGAGACUAGAAAGAGAGGAACAAAUAGGAGAAGCAGCAAGUAGUGUUAAAGUAUAGAGGUUACCUUCAUGACAAAAUGAUCCUCUGGGUACAUGCUUAAGUUAACUUGCUCAGGAACAUUCCCAGGCAGUGACACUAAAUGGCACAAAAUAGUCUAUGUAAGUUUCAGAAGAUGGUUUCAGCUUCCCUAAUUGGGUGCCUACCUCCAAUUUGUCUGCUCUGAGUGUUUCUUUGGAUGUUCAAACUGCCAAAUCAUUUGUGGCACUUGUGCUGGUUUUGGCUGGGAUAGUUAAUUUUCUCCAUAGUAGCUGGUAAAGGGAUAUGGUUUGGAUUUGUACUGAAAACACCAUUGAUAAUACAGAGACAUUUUCAUUACCUCAGAGCAGUGCUUACACAGAGUCAAGGCCUUUUCUACUUCUCACAUCACACCAACAGCAAGUAGGCUGCGGGUGCACAAGAAGCCGGGAGGGGACACAGAUGGGACAGCAGACCAAAUGGAUAUUCCAUUCCAUAUGGCAUCACGCUCAGCAUAUAAAGCUGGGAAAUGAGGAGGAGGAGGAGGAGGGGUACAUACAGAGUUACGAUGUUUGUCUUCCAGAAUAACCAUGAGACCUGAGUAAUCAAAGAGCCCUGCCUUCCUGGAGAUGGCUGAACAUCUGCCUGGCUAUAGGAAGUGGUGAAUGAAUGUCUUGUUUUGUUUUGCUUGCAUGCAUGGCUUUUGCUUUACCUAUUAAACUGUCUUUCUUUAUCUCAACCAGCAAAUUUUCUCACUCUUCGAUUCUCUUCCUCAUCCCACCAAGGGGCUGUGUGGUCCUUAGUUGCCAAUUGAGGUUAAACCACAAAAGUCCUUUUUGUUGAAGUGUUCAAGAUAAUGAGUGGAAUGUGCUAGAUCAAAUUUAUAGGUUCUAUUGCUGUUCAGCUAUUAACAGACAGCUUCCGUACUUACCAUGGUGCUUGCUUCCCUUACUGUGUAUCACAGUCUAUGCUCAUUAGUGGCUCCUUUUUGCUUCUGCUGCUGGCUGUACUGCUUAUCAUCUUACUCUGCUGUGCCUGGGAACAGUUUGAUAACAGCAAUGGCCAUGCGACUAGGCUGGCAGAUGGCCAGGGCAUCGCUGCUGUUUCUGUGCAGCACUCCAGUGUGAACUCCAGUCAAAGGGACUGUGACCUGUGGAGGAGUCCACAAAAGAGCAGGACACCUCAAAGCAUCUGUGCUCUGGAUAAGUCCACACCAGAGCAGGUACAUCUCAAAGUGUCUGUGGCCAUGGUCAUGUCUGUGCCACCUGUACCUUCUCCACAAUGAAGACGGCACACCUUGAAUCAUCUGUGGCUGCAGGUAAGUCCAUGCUGCAGCAGGUACAAUCUGAAGCAUUAGUGGAUGCAUAUGAGAUCAUGCCUCAUGAGAGCACCUCAAAGCGUGUGGCCAUGGUUAAGACCAGGACAGAGCAAGUACAGCUCUGGAGGAACUGCAAGCAUGAGUAUGGCCAUGCUGAAGCAGGUAUAUCUCUGAAGGCAUUGUGGCCCAUGCAUAAGGCCACGCUGUAACGUGCACCUCAAAGCAACUGUGGCUGUGGCGGCAGGUAAAGCCCUGGAGAGACUGUGGCUCAUGGAUAAAAUUCCACUUGGAGCAGAUAGACCCCUAAAGGACUGCAGUGUGUGGCUUACAUGGGAAAUAUCCUCUUUUCACCCCUCCUCCGAAGCAAAUUUACAAGGUUUAAACAUAUCAGGUCUUCACAAAGUAGGAUAUUUUCUACUUUUAUUUCUUAUGCUCUUCAACACAGCUAAUAAGACUAUGGAUUGAGGAUCAGUAGAUUUAUGAAAUGUUUUAUUAGAUAAUUUACUUUUACAAUAAUGAUUACCAUUGUAUAUUACUAUUACAAUAACUGAUACAAUACAGUGAACCUCACUGUAUUAACAUGUAACUUGUUGUGUUAACCAAGUUCUCCCUAUAUUUCUGCUCCCUUCCUCAGUACUGAAAGACAAAUUGCAUUAUAAUGGUCAAGAAACAUCUCAGACUAUCCAGCAAAUCAAAACAGAUUAUUUCAAUUUCAGAUACUUUCAAUAAUGAAAGUAAAAUGUGAGAGUCGCAAAAGGAUAUUAGUGAUAUUUACAGAUUUAGUGAAAAAGAAGAUGACUCAAUCUUCUCUUAACCCUUAGCCCAGUGACUGGAAUAUUUACACACCAGAAGAAACCUUUUACAUUACGUUGCCUUCCAAAGAAUUCACCCACUUGACAUGCAUACGCUCUAGCUUGUGGGCUGAUCUUUUACAUGUUGUCCUAAGGAAGCUUUUCAAAUAUAUAUUCAGUAUAAAAUGUGUGUACUGGAAGCAUCAAGCUUCACCUCCAUAGUUUUCAAGGGGGCCAUGUCCUUUGAAAAUCUAGCCCUUCAAAAUAAAAAACUGGUUUUUACAUCCAUUUUUUUUUCAGGAAAAAAGCACUCAGCAAAUUCAAGACAGAUAAUUAUUAAAAAUAGUGUAUUUACCGAACAAAUGCAUUUGCCAAAGAUUCACCAUGUUCUUCUGCCCACAGCAACUUCCUUUAUGAAAAAUAAUAUGCAAUCCAAUUUGGUGGUUUGUGGAAUAUGACAGCCCAGAACCCACCUCUUACUGAAGCCAACUGCAAGGGUGGUUAGGAAUCUAAGCUAUGCAAGUAGAAUUAUUUUUCUGGGAGAGAAAUGCAAAAGCAGCGAGAUGGAUGUUACUGUCCUGAAGAAGUACAGGUAAAAAAUGGACUGUGAGUUAGACAUACAAAAAACCCCAAAAGAAGCCCAAGUGAUGCUCCACCACAGAAGUCCUUGAGAAAAUAAAAAAAAACAUUAGGAACCAUUUCCAAACAAUUUAUAUCUAAGAACAAAAGUUCUGAAUCCUAGUCCUCUUACAUUCAGGCAAGCAUUUUAGCAUGUCUACAUUUUAUAAAUGGACAGGAUCAUUUAAAAAAAAUAGCUGAUCAAACUCUUCUUCUAAAGAAACAUAACCAGUCAGGUUUCAAAACUGGGUACAAUGCUUAUGUCAGAAAUAAGGAAAAGGAAAAAAAGAAGAGACGUCUGUAUCCUUUCAAUCAUAUCAAUCAUAUUUGUUAUUAAAUACUAUCACAUUACGUACUGGCAAACUAUGCUAUUAAAACUGUGAUUUAGUGACAAAGAAUCAUGAGUAGUUUGUAGAAGAAGAGAGGAAUAAUUCCAUCUCCUCUCCACUUUGAAGAAUCGACAAUUAUCUGAAACACAGAGAUGGAACAUAUGCCUCCCAGACAGAAAAAAGUGAGCAUCUUUCCAGAAAGGGCAGAAUGGAAGGAGAAAAGAGAGACUUCAAGGAUGAACAGACUGGGAAGAUCAAAAAGGGAAUAGGACUAAGAUAGGAGAUAAAGCAUUCAGCUGGUAACAGACCUGAAAUUCACAGAUCACAGAGAUGGAAAACCCCUUAUACAGAUCAGACUUCCAGAGUUGAAAGCAAAUAGAACUACGUAGUUGCUGGAAAUAAUUUUCUUAGAAUCAUAGAAUGGUAGGGUUGGAAAGGACUUUAAGAUCACCUAGCUCCAACCCCCUGCCAUGGGCAGGGACGCCUCAUGCUAGAUCAUAUUGCUGAAGGCUCUGUCUGGCUGUUUCCAGUUCACCAUAUCUCAGCCAGGGCCAAUAACUUCCUAAAAUGAACUGCCUUGAUCACUUGCCAUUUUGUAGCCAUUCUAUAAGGCUACUUAACUGUAUUUUAGUGUUCAGAUAUUCCAUUCAUAGUUAAUGCCCAUUCAGCUGAAGGGGUUACAAGCAACACCUUUGGCAACAUUUACAUUGCAAACUAAUUAGAAUAGAGUACAAAAGAUACGCUUCACCAAAACCAAACUUGAACCACUUAUGAAAGGAGACAAAGAAAAGACAAAAAAGUAAACAACUAAAAAUAGGGUAUACUUGUGUCAUACUAAUCAUUAAUAACUAAUAAGCAACUGACCUCAGGGUCCCCGCAGGUCUGCAGUCUUUCCCAUUAAGUAUUUCCUGAAUGUAUGUCUAAUACUCUAAAUAUUCCAUUUGACAGUAUUUCUAUGCAGAAUACGUAUCCUUUUUCUAUAAUAGAGAGUAGCAAAAUACCAGCAACAAGAGAUUGGAUUAGUAUUUCAGUAAUAAAAGUGAUACCCUCUAGUAAUGAACAACGAGAAUCUGGACAGAACCUUAUUGUAAGGCGGACAAAAAAAGACAAUACUCAAGAUUUUUAAAAAUGGACUUUGUUCAGUUACUGGAAAGCUCGUAUCAAACAAGACUGCUAUGGCAACUUGCAGAGCUGGAGGAGAGAGUGCUGCUGUCACAACCUAAUGUAAAGCACAAUCCUAGUGGCAUUGUGGGGAUAGUACCCCACAGCCUUCCUGCUACAGUGCAGCUGUGCAGCUGCAGCAUGGGACAAUACCUGAAGAUCUUGAAAGCCAUUUCCAGUCCUAGGUUAAUACUUUAUAUUUCAGAUGUGCCAGAGAUCUUGCAAUGCUUGUAUGAAUAUUAAAUAAUUAAAAGUAACUAUUCAUUUUCUA